AAUAAAUGUGAAUUUUUUAUGCCAGGGUAGUAAUAGUUAUGUUCUUGAAACCCAAAGAAUUUGGCGGUAUUUUAGUCCUUUCAGAGGAAUCUGUCCCGUAAUCGACAGUCCACGAGAUAAUUUACUUAUCCUUGUAUUUCAGUUUGUAUACCUCCGUCAUAAGAAGAUCUUUUUAGAGAUAAAUUUUCUUAAUAUAUUAAGUAUAAAAUGUCAGGUCAAGGUGCAAUUUAUGGAUGAGUGGAGAUGGGUUACAAUAAAUUUAUUUAAAUGGAUUAAAUUAUUUAAUUUUUUAUGAAGGUGGAUUUGAUAGUAAUUUUAAUUAUUUGUUAUUAUGAUUUUGGCUCUAAAAUAUGC
RNAcentral lists this ribosomal RNA (354 nucleotides) under Gomphus lynnae. RNAcentral describes it as "partial 12S ribosomal RNA". Lineage: Eukaryota; Metazoa; Arthropoda; Insecta; Odonata; Gomphidae. The record is from RNAcentral.